CAAGUCUGGUGCCAGCAGCCGC
Molecule: non-coding RNA, 22 nt
Filed under: Arabidopsis thaliana (thale cress)
Lineage: Eukaryota; Viridiplantae; Streptophyta; Magnoliopsida; Brassicales; Brassicaceae
Source: RNAcentral